RNAcentral lists this ribosomal RNA (328 nucleotides) under uncultured eukaryote. RNAcentral describes it as "partial 18S ribosomal RNA". It matches the Rfam family "Eukaryotic small subunit ribosomal RNA", at positions 1470 to 1796 of the family's 1831-position model. The record is from RNAcentral.
CCCUUAGAUGUUCUGGGCCGCACGCGCGCUACACUGACUACUUCAACGAGUUGUUUCCUUGAUCGAAAGGUCUGGGUAAUCUUUGAAAGGUAGUCGUGAUGGGGAUAGAUCCUUGCAAUUUUUGAUCUUCGACGAGGAAUUCCUAGUAAACGCAAGUCAUCAGCUUGCAUUGAUUACGUCCCUGCCCUUUGUACACACCGCCCGUCGCACCUACCGAUUGAAUGGUCCGGUGAAUCUUUAGGACUGUGGCUGAGGCCUUGCCUUGUGCGGGUCUGGCCGUGGGAAUUUAGUUAAACCUUACCAUUUAGAGGAAGGUGAAGUCGUAACA